UUUAGGUUCUUCAUUUACAUAUUACAUAAUUGGGAGAUUCAUGGCUGCUGCAACCUAAUGAGCAAAUUGUGCACUACACAAGCAUAUCACAUUGGAAGAAGAGAUGCUGGUUGUAAGUAAAAGAAAAGAGAAGUAGAUAAAAUAUCAAUAAUGCACUCUCACUGACUGUAUUUGCAUUGACCUACCAAAAAUAGUGACAGAAAUGUUACAUGCAAUCCAGCAGAUGCUCAGAAAAUUAUUGGUCUUCGAUUUUUCUGGAGGAACUGUAGUAGUGAAUUCCUAGAAUAUCCAUUCCCCUCUUUCAGAUGUCCAGGCUUUUCUCUCCACUAACAAGACAAAUUUGAAGCACUCACUGGCUAAUUGUUCAACCAACUCCUAACUACUAUUAAGAAGUUUAUGACCUAGCAAUAAAGACUAAACUUGGAAUUGCCUGGCUUUUGUUUUUCUAUUGCCUAUGAUCGUAAGCAAAAACCCAGGUCCACCUCCUCAAAUAAAUGUAAACAUGUGAUUGUAUGCAUAUAUGAAACCACACUCCAAAAAAGGACAGAGGCAGGAAUAAGUUUACUAGCAGUUAAUUAAAGCUUACUGUCUUUCUCAUUUAUAAAAUUGAUCUGUCUAUAUACUGUAUAUACCAACUAUUCUGUUUUGUAUACAAACAACGUCGAAAUGUAUUAGUACACCUACAUUUAAACUCCCUCACUAAGGGAAAGUUUUGUCUAACUAAUCCAUUACAGGUUUUUUAGGAUAUUAAUAACUAUGUAGAUAAAAGUGACCUCAUAGAUUUUCAAAAAGCCUUUAAUGAAGUUCCCCUUAAAAAAUGUCUCAAGAAACUUAAUAACUAUGGAAUACAAAAAGCAGGCCCUUUUACAGAUAAGCAACUAACUGACGAGUAGGAAUAAAUGGACAUUUUUCAUAAUGGAGUGGGGUCAAUAGCAAAUGGGAGAGAAGGAAGAAGGAACACUUAGAAAAAAGGCAGACUAAAAGUGACCACACUAGAAAUUUGUCAUGGGUAGAGCACACAUCUUGAAAAAUACAGACUGUCCAUAAUUACUUUUUUACUAUAAUGGAGCUCAAAAAUUAUUUUGAAAAUAAACUCACCCAUCUGUUAUGUUUGGUUUAAUUCAGCACAUCCUAUUAAAGAUGAGCAAUAAAAUAACAAUUUAUGAGUUGUAAAAUUAGGGGAAAACAAAUCCUUUGUUGUGCUUCUGUCUCUUCACUUUUACAUACUUUUUCGUGUAACAAGGUUUUGCAAUAAAGAAAAGAAGAGAAAGAACACAUUUCUACUGUAGAAAAGAGAAGUUAUGAUGAAAUUAUAUAAUGAAUACAGUGACCUCCAGUAAAAGUCAUCUUUCUUGCAAUUAUAUAAGCAGGGAUUAAUGAGCCUUUUUAAUGUAAAACCCCCAAAUCAACAUCUUUGGUCAACUAGUGUUAAAUCUGCAAUCUUUUAUGUACAAAUCUGCUUCAGAUUUUUAUGCCCAAUUACUUCUUAAAA
Molecule: long non-coding RNA, 1492 nt
Organism: Crotalus tigris (Tiger rattlesnake)
Lineage: Eukaryota; Metazoa; Chordata; Lepidosauria; Squamata; Viperidae
Exons: 3
Source: RefSeq, a predicted model, not a curated record